Molecule: long non-coding RNA, 2480 nt
Organism: Gymnodraco acuticeps
Lineage: Eukaryota; Metazoa; Chordata; Actinopteri; Perciformes; Bathydraconidae
Exons: 2
Source: RefSeq, a predicted model, not a curated record
UCCGACUCUGGAGGCGACCUGACAGGAACACACCCGGCUUCUCCUAAACAUCGCAUCGUGUCAUCACUCCGGCAGCAGCAGGGCGGAUGUUCUUCAUCGUCUUCACCAUCACAUUAGCAUCUGACACCCGGCGUGCAGUGGUGCCGACAGGUGGCGUAUGCGGGCGCCCCUCACGAUGGUUUCUCCCACCAUGAAAGCGUUGGUAGAUGCUGUAUGGGGGAUUUGGAGCAUCGGGGCCUCCAUUUAUGACUACAUUCACACCAACGCCAUGGAGGAGCGCAUCCACGCCCUGGAGGACAUCAUCACCAUCCACCAGUGUGUGAUUGGACUUCUGUCCACAGGCGUAUUGGUACUCUUUACUUACGUCUUUUUCAAGAAGCUCUGAUGAUGUGUGAAGGGGUGGACUGACCAGAUUCAGGCAUUAGGGUUCAGUGUGGUUGAGAACAUUGACCAGACAUUUAAUGAGGGAUUUGUACACAUUGGGUACAUCUACAUGGGCACACUGUCUUUAUUCAGAUAGUGUCCCAUGAUGGGAAAAAACACCUCAAAAAGUUAUUCAUAAUCCAAUUAAAUAGAGAAUACGUCUGUAGGUGUCUAGGAAAUGCCUCAACAUCGUGAUUCACAACUUUUCAAAAGGGAACAUUAAUGAAAAUAAUAAUUAGCCAUAACUUCUGCCUUAAAGCACAUUGUUUUAAGUGUAACGAUAUUAUUUGUUAAGUUUGCACUAAUAUUCUCAAGGACUGACCGAGAUAACAGGAGGAACUAGUGUCGGAGUGCAGAGGUUCUUUAAUAGUGUUGAAUUUAAACUAAAUUGUUUAUUGAUAUUUUACUUAACUGUCAUCAUAGUUCUGCUAUAAACAUAUUUCAAUAGUUAGACUAUUAUUGAGUACGUUUUGUGAUAACUUUUACCAAGCCUGUAAAGAUAUUUCAUUUGUCUGAGAUUGUCCAAUGAAAGAAAUUGCAUCCUAAAAUCCCUUUGCGAUACAAUUUUAUAGGUGUAUUAUCUACACUAUUAGACUCUAAAUCCUACAUUUGUCAUGUUAUACCUCCUAGCUUAAACAUUACUGAGGGUGCCUCUGCAGGGAUAUGCGACAAUUUGAAGUGUCCUUAAAAAGUAGCUAUAAAUAUAUAUCUAUGGACAGUUCUUGUAGCUGGCCAUUGAAUUAUUGUAUAGCAGUGAUGGAUAUCUCAAAGUGCUACUGCUUGUAUUUGUUUUUUUCGGGUUGGAGUUUGAAAUAUAUUCUUGGUACCGACUGCACCUACUGGUUACAUUUGUGAAUUUAAGAAGAUAAAGGAUGUUUUGUCAUAGUAACUUAAUUAACCAACUAUUCCUGCCAAGAUAACUAUUUGAAGAAGUGGUGGGUCAUAAAAACUACUGCUGUGUGAAUCCAUAGUUUAGAGAAAGUGUGUUUAUCUGUGUACAUGUGUAAUGUCUCAGAGGGACCAGGACAUAUUGAAAGACUGUUUUAAUAUCAUAACAGCAUCAAAGUUGGCAUCACAACAUUUCAAAUAAAUGUGGAACUCUAUAAAACUGGACAUCCUUACCAUAUUACAUGCUACCAACAUCAGUAUGAUAUCAAAUGUGGUAACAAACUGUCAUAAAUGGAAAGUUUUAAAAUACAACUGCCCUUUCAAGAACAUUUUACCCAACAAUGCUGGAACAAUUGAAGAAUAUUCAACAGGCCUGAAGGCAAUGAAACAACUCAUAGAUGGUCAUAGCACCAACCAUGACCCUGCUGAUAAACUUCUACACAAUUGUUGAACACUGGCUGUUGCUAUGGGAACUUACGACACUACUUGGACCUUUUUAGGUGACUCAUAAGUGUCCAGUCUGCAUCAGAGUAAACCUGCAGGUGAACCUCUCCACGCUCUCCCCCUCCAGGAACUUCAUGGCUCUCCAGUGGAUCUUGCCACUGUUCUCUGGCUGACCAAAGGUUCCCAUUUCCUCCUGGAUGUACUGCAGCCACAGAUCUUCAGAGAAAUACAAACAACAAAACAUUUUUAAGGAAAGAUAGUGCCAGGAAAAUAAAACAAUCUGACACCCAACAAGGCUUUUUUCAUUUAUCCCAAUUAAAAAGGUUUCCUUUGGCCUUGAAACCAGAUUAAAAGUGUGUUUGGGAUCCAGCCACAGAUACAUUUUCAAGUCUAAGAUUUUAUUUUAAAUGUAUUUUGUGAACAGAUACCAGCUACAGUGGAGGAAAUAAGCAUUUGAUCCCUUGCAGAUUUUGUAAGUUUGCCCACUUACAAAGAAAUGAACAGUCUAUCAUUUUAAUGGUAGAUUUAUUUUAACAGUGAGGGUAAGAAUAUCAAAAAGAAAAUCCAGAAAUGUACAUAAUAUAAGGGAUCAAAUACUUAUUUCCUCCACUCUAUCUGGUCAUAUAACUAAUACUGUAUUUGGCAUUGACACACGUCUUGUUAUAUUUUAGUCCUCUAUACUUGAUUACCAGGAUUUUGUGAAUAAAUAUUUUAAACAAACAUUA